This 423-nucleotide long non-coding RNA is filed under the name Homo sapiens (human). RNAcentral describes it as "long non-coding RNA NONHSAT082872". The record is from RNAcentral. Lineage: Eukaryota; Metazoa; Chordata; Mammalia; Primates; Hominidae.
CACCUCCUCCUGCCAGUCCAGCUGCUGCCGCCCGGCCUCCUGCGUGUCCCUCCUCUGCCGCCCCGCAAGCUCCCGCCUGGCCUGCUACAGCCUCUGCUCAGGCAAGAAGUCCAGCUGCUGAGUGCUCAAUCCUUGUCUCCUGCUGACUGUGUCUUUGCUGCCAAGCAGGAUUCUCCAGUCUCAGGAGCCCCUGGAGUCCUCAGAAUCCACCAGCUCCAUCAGUAGCCACAGAGCUGCUGCCUGAAGGGGAUUUUGAGCGCGUCACACUUUCCUCCCCACUGUCUGGGAAGAGACAACCCACAAAUCCCUCAGCAGGUGGACUGUGGCUUUCUGGAGCCCCCUUCUCCAAAUGUGUUGCUUAUACCCAAUGUGACAAAGAAGAACUGCUCUAAUCAAUAAAUUCUUGAGUCAGGAAAUACGGGC